AUCACUAGGAAAUCCAGUGGUGGUCUGGUUUCAUUUGUAGAUGGUCCGGAUUCAUUGCUAAGACUUAGUUUCAACUGGGAUAUCCAA
Sinocyclocheilus grahami is the source of this 87-nucleotide long non-coding RNA. RefSeq lists it as uncharacterized. NCBI's taxonomy places the organism in Eukaryota, Metazoa, Chordata, Actinopteri, Cypriniformes, Cyprinidae. The transcript has 3 exons. The record is from RefSeq and is a predicted model, not a curated record.